RNAcentral lists this ribosomal RNA (393 nucleotides) under uncultured bacterium. RNAcentral's name for it is "partial 16S ribosomal RNA". It matches the Rfam family "Bacterial small subunit ribosomal RNA", at positions 523 to 918 of the family's 1533-position model. The record is from RNAcentral.
AUACGGAGGAUGCGAGCGUUAUCCGGAUUUAUUGGGUUUAAAGGGAGCGUAGGUGGGAUAUUAAGUCAGCUGUGAAAGUUUGGGGCUCAACCUUAAAAUUGCAGUUGAUACUGGUUUCCUUGAGUACGGUACAGGUGGGCGGAAUUCGUGGUGUAGCGGUGAAAUGCUUAGAUAUCACGAAGAACUCCGAUCGCGAAGGCAGCUCACCGGGCCGGAACUGACACUGAUGCUCGAAAGUGCGGGUAUCAAACAGGAUUAGAUACCCUGGUAGUCCACACAGUAAACGAUGAAUACUCGCUGUUUGCGAUAUACAGUAAGCGGCCAAGCGAAAGCGUUAAGUAUUCCACCUGGGGAGUACGCCGGCAACGGUGAAACUUAAAGGAAUUGACGGGG